This 777-nucleotide long non-coding RNA is filed under the name Olea europaea (common olive). Its description in RNAcentral is "long non-coding RNA (OEUR_LNC006333)". Lineage: Eukaryota; Viridiplantae; Streptophyta; Magnoliopsida; Lamiales; Oleaceae. The record is from RNAcentral.
GUGCUCCAAUCACGCUGGACCAUCUGUCCGAAGUGAUGCUGGUUUGUCUGCUGGUGUAAGUGGCAGUAGACAGGGUGUGAUUCUCCCUCCUCUGCAUGAUCUUGAUGUGGGAGUUAUAGUCUCUCUUCCACCUGAUGUCAUUGCAGAAAUUAAUGACAUGUAUGGUGGGGAGUUAACAAGUUUCAUUUCCAAGUAUAAAAGUGACAUGAAUAUGCCUGCUAUGUCAGUUGAUAGUUUUGAGGGUAAAAUUUUAAACCUUUCCUCUGUUUAAAAGUGGAUUUUCUUCUCCUUGUCAAAUGUCUCAUGAUGAACUGUUGCAUUCCGAUUAGGGGUAACUGCUGAGGAAAAAGAAUGCCAUCCCUCUUAUCUGGUCCAAUCUAAUAAAUUCCCCUUUGACAUUAAGGUACUGCUCCUACUCAUGUUCUAUGUAGCUUGUGCACAAUUAACUACAGGAUCUGAAAUAAAUCAAUAUCCCAGUGAAAUAAAGUAUAAAUAAAACAAAUUUUUGUGCUUAAAAUUUGUUAUCGAGGUCAGUUGUGCUCCAAUCACGCUGGACCAUCUGUCCGAAGUGAUGCUGGUUUGUCUGCUGGUGUAAGUGGCAGUAGACAGGGUGUGAUUCUCCCUCCUCUGCAUGAUCUUGAUGUGGGAGUUAUAGUCUCUCUUCCACCUGAUGUCAUUGCAGAAAUUAAUGACAUGUAUGGUGGGGAGUUAACAAGUUUCAUUUCCAAGUAUAAAAGUGACAUGAAUAUGCCUGCUAUGUCAGUUGAUAGUUUUGAG